Molecule: unclassified non-coding RNA, 1788 nt
Filed under: Homo sapiens (human)
Lineage: Eukaryota; Metazoa; Chordata; Mammalia; Primates; Hominidae
Description: partial carcinoembryonic antigen related cell adhesion molecule 19, transcript variant 17
Source: RNAcentral
AUGGAGAUUCCCAUGGGGACCCAGGGCUGCUUCUCAAAGAGCCUCCUGCUCUCAGCCCUUCCCUGUAACUUCCCACAGCCUCAAUCCUGGUCCUCUGGAUGCUCCAAGGCUCCCAGGCAGCUCUCUACAUCCAGAAGAUUCCAGAGCAGCCUCAAAAGAACCAGGACCUUCUCCUGUCAGUCCAGGGUGUCCCAGACACCUUCCAGGACUUCAACUGGUACCUGGGGGAGGAGACGUACGGAGGCACGAGGCUAUUUACCUACAUCCCUGGGAUACAACGGCCUCAGAGGGAUGGCAGUGCCAUGGGACAGCGAGACAUCGUGGGCUUCCCCAAUGGUUCCAUGCUGCUGCGCCGCGCCCAGCCUACAGACAGUGGCACCUACCAAGUAGCCAUUACCAUCAACUCUGAAUGGACUAUGAAGGCCAAGACUGAGGUCCAGGUAGCUGAAAAGAAUAAGGAGCUGCCCAGUACACACCUGCCCACCAACGCUGGGAUCCUGGCGGCCACCAUCAUUGGAUCUCUUGCUGCCGGGGCCCUUCUCAUCAGCUGCAUUGCCUAUCUCCUGGUGACAAGGAACUGGAGGGGCCAGAGCCACAGACUGCCUGCUCCGAGGGGCCAGGGAUCUCUGUCCAUCUUGUGCUCGGCUGUAUCCCCAGUGCCUUCAGUGACGCCCAGCACAUGGAUGGCGACCACAGAGAAGCCAGAAUUGGGCCCUGCUCAUGAUGCUGGUGACAACAACAUCUAUGAAGUGAUGCCCUCUCCAGUCCUCCUGGUGUCCCCCAUCAGUGACACAAGGUCCAUAAACCCAGCCCGGCCCCUGCCCACACCCCCACACCUGCAGGCGGAGCCAGAGAACCACCAGUACCAGGACCUGCUAAACCCCGACCCUGCCCCCUACUGCCAGCUGGUGCCAACUUCCUGAUGGGUCCUGGGCCAGGCCAGCCAGGGAGAAGACAAGGCCCCAGCCCUCCUCUGGGAGCCUCACACCUGAGACCAGCAGGACAAGGCCAUUGGGGGCUGUGGGGCCGAUGAGGUGGACUCAGCCAAAGACUCAGCAGCACAUGGGGCAGGUGUCCUGGCAGGGGGACAGGAGACUGUAACAGGCCCAGGUCCUUGUGCAGCCCGUGAAUGCACGCCCGCCUUCGGUCUGUUCCUUCAAGCAAGCUGGCCUGGGCCAUGUGCCUGUGAAAGGCAGGCUCUGGCCCCUUUCCAUGCCAAAGUCCCCCAAGAUCUGGAUAUCUGGGGACAAGAUGGUGGCCUCAGGCCUGCCUCCCAGGCAGUUGGCUGGGCUCCCAACUGUCUGUCCUCAAUGCCCUACCCCAACUCCACUAGUGACCCUCAGAGUCUUCUCCCCUUAGGACAAGGCAGACACCCCACCAUGCGGGCCUCAGGUGGCAGAGAGGCCCAGCCUCACAGGCCUGUGGCCCCACACACCAGUCCCAGCAAGGUGACCACGGCUGCUGGACCCCUUCCCUGUUCAGGCAGGCCCAGCCCCUCUCAGAACCUGCUGCCAGCUGCUGGUCUUGGCCCCCACCCUGAAUCUUACUGAGUCCCUCUGGGCAGCAGCUCCCUUCUCCACCCCACCCCAGCACCCGUCCCAAAUGUGGCCUCAGCUUGUCCUCCCCUUCCCCAAACUAUGCAUUCAUUCAGCAAUAAAUGAGCCUUUGCUGUAUGCCAGACCCAGUUCUAGGCUCUUGCAGCCCUGGUAGAAAGCAAAACAAAAACUCCCGCUUUCCCAGAGGGUCACUUGGCAGGGGAAAGAAUCAGGAAAUAAAAUAAAUAAUGAA